RNAcentral lists this ribosomal RNA (274 nucleotides) under uncultured bacterium. RNAcentral describes it as "partial 16S ribosomal RNA". It matches the Rfam family "Bacterial small subunit ribosomal RNA", at positions 523 to 796 of the family's 1533-position model. The record is from RNAcentral.
AUACGGAGGGUGCAAGCGUUAUUCGGAAUCACUGGGCUUAAAGAGUGCGUAGGCGGCUUUGUAGGUGAGGUGUGAAAUCCCACGGCUCAACCGUGGAACUGCGCUUCAAACCACAAGGCUUGAGGGAGGCAGAGGUAAGCGGAACUGAUGGUGGAGCGGUGAAAUGCGUUGAUAUCAUCAGGAACACCAGUGGCGUAGGCAGCUAGCUAGGCAUUAAUUGACGCUGAGGCACGAAAGCGUGGGGAGCGAACAGGAUUAGAAACCCCAGUAGUCC